GAUUUAUUUCAACUUCCGGUGUAAAUUAUAAUCAAUCGCUCCUUCCUUCCGCACUGAUAUUCAGCAGCACUCAUCGCAUGGCAGCUGAACCUUCAUCAUCAUCGCCGUCAUCGGCUGUCACCUCCGACACAAACACCAUUCAUCCGCCUUCUUCCCCCGUUCGCGAUGCUUCCCCUUCUCCUUUCUCUGUCAUCGAUUUUCUCUCUAUCUGUCACCACCUCAAGACAACAAAGAGAACAGGAUGGGUGAGAAGGGACGUUAAGAAUCCAGAAUCUAUAGCGGAUCAUAUGUAUCGAAUGAGUUUGAUGGCUCUGAUUGCACCAGAUGUUCCCGGUUUAGACCGAAACAAGUGCAUAAAAAUGGCUAUUGUUCAUGACAUUGCAGAAGCAAUGAUAGGGGACAUAACCCCCAUGGAUGGAAUUUCAAAAGCAGAAAAGAGUCAACGAGAACAAGCAGCACUUGAGUAUAUGUGCAAAAUAAUUGGAGAAGGAUCAAGAGGAAAGGAAAUAACUGAGUUGUGGACAGACUAUGAAGCAAAUUCUUCUCCAGAAGCAAAAUUUGUCAAGGACCUUGACAAGGUAGAGAUGAUACUUCAAGCCCUGGAAUAUGAAGACGAGCAAGGAAAGGAUUUGGAUGAAUUUUUCCAGUCAACUGCCGGUUAUUGGUAGCCAGCCUCCUUGUAUGCAAAUCUGCACUUGAAAGUAUGAUUCACUUGGUUAUGAUCUGAAGCUGAGAAGUGGUACUUUGGCUGAAUAUGGGAAGUUCCAAACUGAAAUUGGCAAAGCUUGGGCAUCAGAGAUUGUAUCGAGAAGGAAUAAAAACUAAAUCCCCUUGUCAUUCUGACUCAACUCUAGAGUGUAUGGAUCACCGUCUUGAGAGGAAAGUAUAAAGGGUAAGAGGAUUCCUUUAUAAGUUUGUAUCUUAAGUUCAUUGGUUCUUCCUUAUGAGUGAGAACACUAUAUGGUGGAGGCAUGUUAAUGACACUGUAAGCUGUACAUACCAUUAAAAUAGGUGUGCAUGAAGCAGCAUUGAGUCGAUGAUUUUGCUGAAUUAUAUUGUAUUAAAUAUUAAUAUGCUUUUAAGCUUGUUCAACCUUGUCUCGUAUUCAUUAAAUCUCAUUGAUAUGAGAGGACUGAAACUAUUGAACUUUCAAAAGAUGCUUUCAUUAGUUCCAUGUA
This is an RNA transcript of Cicer arietinum (chickpea), 1178 nucleotides long. RefSeq lists it as uncharacterized. The record is from RefSeq and is a predicted model, not a curated record. Lineage: Eukaryota; Viridiplantae; Streptophyta; Magnoliopsida; Fabales; Fabaceae.